GACAGAGGGGGCAAGCGUUGCUCGGAAUUACUGGGCGUAAAGGGCGCGUAGGCGGGAUGGCAAGUCGGUCGUGAAAUCCCUCGGCUCAACUGAGGAGCGUCGAUCGAAACUGCCGUUCUUGAGGGUUGCAGAGGAGACUGGAAUUCCCGGUGUAGCGGUGAAAUGUGUAGAGAUCGGGAGGAACACCGGUGGCGAAGGCGGGUCUCUGGGCCGAAAUUGACGCUGAGGAGCGAAAGCGUGGGGAGCGAACAGG
RNAcentral lists this ribosomal RNA (253 nucleotides) under uncultured bacterium. RNAcentral describes it as "partial 16S ribosomal RNA". It matches the Rfam family "Bacterial small subunit ribosomal RNA", at positions 524 to 776 of the family's 1533-position model. The record is from RNAcentral.